GAAGAAAUUGGAAAAAUUAUCUGCAGAAUCCAAAAAAGAGACUCCAGAGAAGAAACCUGAAAAAGUAUCUGCGGAACCCAAAAAAGAGACUCCAGAGAAGAAACCAGAAAA
Rana temporaria (common frog) is the source of this 111-nucleotide long non-coding RNA. RefSeq lists it as uncharacterized. The record is from RefSeq and is a predicted model, not a curated record. The transcript has 3 exons. NCBI's taxonomy places the organism in Eukaryota, Metazoa, Chordata, Amphibia, Anura, Ranidae.